CCUACGUGGGGCUGCAGUGGGGAAUAUUGGACAAUGGGCGAAAGCCUGAUCCAGCCAUGCCGCGUGUGUGAAGAAGGCCUUCGGGUUGUAAAGCACUUUCAGUGGGGAAGAAAGCCUUGGGGCUAAUACCCUCGAGGAAGGACAUCACCCACAGAAGAAGCACCGGCUAACUCCGUGCCAGCAGCCGCGGUAAUACGGAGGGUGCGAGCGUUAAUCGGAAUUACUGGGCGUAAAGCGCGCGUAGGCGGUCUGAUAAGCCGGUUGUGAAAGCCCCGGGCUCAACCUGGGAACGGCAUCCGGAACUGUCAGGCUAGAGUGCAGGAGAGGAAGGUAGAAUUCCCGGUGUAGCGGUGAAAUGCGUAGAGAUCGGGAGGAAUACCAGUGGUGAAGGCGGCCUUCUGGACUGACACUGACGCUGAGGUGCGAAAGCGUGGGUAGCAAACAGGAUUAGAUACCCGUGUAGUC
This 465-nucleotide ribosomal RNA is filed under the name Vreelandella stevensii. RNAcentral describes it as "partial 16S ribosomal RNA". It matches the Rfam family "Bacterial small subunit ribosomal RNA", at positions 338 to 795 of the family's 1533-position model. The record is from RNAcentral. Lineage: Bacteria; Pseudomonadati; Pseudomonadota; Gammaproteobacteria; Oceanospirillales; Halomonadaceae.